Molecule: ribosomal RNA, 433 nt
Filed under: uncultured Chromatiales bacterium
Lineage: Bacteria; Pseudomonadati; Pseudomonadota; Gammaproteobacteria; Chromatiales
Description: bacterial SSU rRNA
Rfam family: Bacterial small subunit ribosomal RNA
Source: RNAcentral
UACGAGCGCACCCUUGUCCCUAGUUACCAGCACUUCGGGUGGGAACUCUAGGGAGACUGCCGGUGAUAAACCGGAGGAAGGUGGGGAUGACGUCAAGUCAUCAUGGCCCUUAUGGGCAGGGCUACACACGUGCUACAAUGGCCGGUACAGAGGGCUGCGAAGCCGCAAGGUGAAGCGAAUCUCAGAAAACCGGUCGUAGUCCGGAUUGCAGUCUGCAACUCGACUGCAUGAAGCCGGAAUCGCUAGUAAUCGCGGAUCAGAACGCCGCGGUGAAUACGUUCCCGGGCCUUGUACACACCGCCCGUCACACCAUGGGAGUGGGCUGUACCAGAAGUAGGUAGUCUAACCUUCGGGAGGACGCUUACCACGGUGUGGUUCAUGACUGGGGUGAAGUCGUAACAAGGUAGCCCUAGGGGAACCUGGGGCUGGAUCA